UCGGGAAUUUUGGGCAAUGGGCGAAAGCCUGACCCAGCAACGCCGCGUGAAGGAUGAAGUAUUUCGGUAUGUAAACUUCGAAAGAAUAGGAAGAAUAAAUGACGGUACUAUUUAUAAGGUCCGGCUAACUACGUGCCAGCAGCCGCGGUAAUACGUAGGGACCAAGCGUUGUUCGGAUUUACUGGGCGUAAAGGGCGCGUAGGCGGCAAUUCAAGUCAUCUGUGAAAUCUCCGGGCUUAACUCGGAACGGUCAGAUGAUACUGCUUUGCUAGAGUGCAGAAGGGGCAAUCGGAAUUCUUGGUGUAGCGGUGAAAUGCGUAGAUAUCAAGAGGAACACCUGAGGUGAAGACGGGUUGCUGGGCUGACACUGACGCUGAGGCACGAAAGCUAGGGUAGCGAACGGGAUUAGAUACCCAAGUAGUCCCUGAGCGGGCUGGCAAGGCGCAU
RNAcentral lists this ribosomal RNA (447 nucleotides) under uncultured bacterium. RNAcentral's name for it is "bacterial SSU rRNA". It matches the Rfam family "Bacterial small subunit ribosomal RNA", at positions 355 to 825 of the family's 1533-position model. The record is from RNAcentral.